Long non-coding RNA from Acinonyx jubatus (cheetah), 459 nucleotides. RefSeq lists it as uncharacterized. The transcript is spliced from 2 exons. The record is from RefSeq and is a predicted model, not a curated record. NCBI's taxonomy places the organism in Eukaryota, Metazoa, Chordata, Mammalia, Carnivora, Felidae.
CACACCCCUCUCUAGUGACUUCUCUGCUCCCAGAGUCCCUGGGGCUUGCACAGUUUUGCUGCAACUAAGUGAACUCCACACAUGUUGGUUUGUGUCAUUUACAUUCACACAUCUAUCUAUUUUUAGGGUAAAAGCUUCUUUGUGACAAGACUUAGACUUCCUCUGGAGACUAUAUGCUAUUCUUCAAGCAGCAGGCAAUUCAAGAAGGAAGGCAGGAAGGAAGGCCUGGAAGGGCAGAGUCCAGAAGGCAAGCCUGUCUCAUGAGCAGCGGUGGCACUGUGGGGAGCUUGGAUGUCUAAGAAGUUGUACAAGAAUGAAACUAGCUUCCACCUCACCCAGUGGCAGCAGCUACCUCAAGAAGGAAAUACAAAAUAGCAAGCAACUCAAGCCAGGAUUCUCCUCAAUUAUCCUUUGCCCCAAACUGAAAAGGAUUAAUACAUAAUGAGCUUGGUUAGUGCA